Molecule: non-coding RNA, 1089 nt
Organism: Pelodiscus sinensis (Chinese soft-shelled turtle)
Lineage: Eukaryota; Metazoa; Chordata; Testudines; Trionychidae
Source: RefSeq, a predicted model, not a curated record
AAAGGGAAUAGGAAAGGAGAGGCCUGGGUCUUUGGCUGGGCUGCCCCUGAAGGAGGGGGCCAGGGACCCCAGCGGGUGGAAGACAGCCCAGGUUUGGAGGGGCAGCUGGAAAAGCGGUUUUCGGACGCUGUGUUGAAUGUCCGAGGGAAACGUGCGUGGGCAAUGAAGCAAUUCCUUUUACCCCAUCCGCUCCUGGGUCGCCUGGUUCUUCUCUAACAGCUGCCACUAUAGAGGGAUGAUUGUCGCUGACAAAGUCUCGUCCAAGGAGAUGCUGAGGAUAAGCGAUGUGGAAAACUAGAAAUCGUUUCUAACCCGACUUCUCGAGACCCUCCUGAAACCAAUGCCCUGCCGUUUGCAAACAGUCUUCUUAGCUAAACACCACCACUUCAUGGGAACCCCAAGAACGGGGAGGUUUUUUAACCAGGCAAUAUUUUCACUUUCAUUUUCACUCAACAAAAUUACUUGUCGAAGUCGAGGUGUCCCAGAGCUCAAACGUUUCGCCAUCGUUUCUCCCUGGCUGUGAGUUGGCCAAGGUCUGGUUUGGGGGCGCAGAAUGGAUCCGAGGAAGAAAUUUUUUGAAACAUGGAAAGAUCAAUUUGGCAUUGUCUCGACAUCGGUUUGCGCACUGAUUUUGGUAGCGUUUGAAAAAAUUAUGGAGACGGAAUUUAGAUGCCCCGAAGAGGCGAGCUGGAGGGUCUAUUACAGUCUCUCCUAUUUUCUUAUUCCAGCUGUUGUUUUGUUUCUGCUGACCGUGGUUUUCCUGCCUAUUGUGGGCCAAAAACGUAACCUAAGAGCUUCUUGUCGGGCUUUGAUGAAAGCUCUUGGGCCCUCGCUGAUAUGGAUGACCCUUCUUCUCCUGGAUGGACGAUACUUUACUUGCACGUGUAAAAAUUUUCUAAACAUAACCACCCUGACCUGUGAUGAGGAGCAGCCCAUCAAGUGUUAUGUAAUAUCGCAGGUAUCUGGACUCGUCUUCUUUUUCGUGAUUGCUGUGGGAUUUUUCGCAGAGAAGAAAUGCCUGCCUCUGUGCUGUCCUGUCGAAGACGACAGCGACAAGGCCCAAGAAGGCAUUGUCAUGGAGUCGCUUUG